This is a long non-coding RNA of Diabrotica virgifera virgifera (western corn rootworm), 752 nucleotides long. RefSeq lists it as uncharacterized. NCBI's taxonomy places the organism in Eukaryota, Metazoa, Arthropoda, Insecta, Coleoptera, Chrysomelidae. The transcript has 2 exons. The record is from RefSeq and is a predicted model, not a curated record.
AAAAGAUAAAUCUUAUUCUAUCUGUUCUUAAUGAGUUUUAUAUAAUUUUAGUUGUAUUUCUUUGUAAUUUUGUGUUGUACAAAGAUUAAUUUAACAUUUUCUCUGGAAGUAUUAAUUUAGAAAGAUAAUAUGCUUCAUUGGUGUUGUGUUUUGAAGUGUGAAAAGUAAUUGUGAUAAAGUCAAGAUAAAGUUCACUUUUAAACUGAACUAAAUAAGGUAUCUGAGAGACAACAAUGGUUAAAUGCAAUACAAUGUACAGGUUUUACUAGCGAAAUGAAAAUUUUCCUGUCCUGUCUGCUGUAAUCAUUUUAUAUCUGGUAAGUUACAAUUACAACAGUAACGAUUUUUGAAGAUGUUAACAUUUUAAUCUUAUAGGAAAACCAGCCGACUUAAUCGAUAAUAACAAUCUCCAGAUUGGGUUCCUUCAAUAAAUAUGGGCUAUAAACACAAUGAAAUAAGUUCCCCAAAAUCUAAAAUGGAGUGGUAUCAAAGGAGAAUUAAAGGAAAAAAUAUUCAUAUUGAAAUUAUUUAUAAGGCACUGGACUGUCUUAAAUUCUACAAUAAUACUAGAAUCAGCUGAGAGAAGUGGUCUACAAAAAACCAGGAAGGAAAAGGAAUAUGUGGCUACGAAAGGCAAAAGAAAGGUUUACAAAGCAAAUGUGACACAUUUUUUUGAAAUAUUUAGGAAUAUCAGUAAAUUGCAUUAAAAAAAUGUAUGAAAAGAUUUUGUUCAAUAAAAAUGUUUAUAUUUA